ACAAUAUUUUGCUGCCCAUAUUGUUCUUGGUUGUUAACAAUAUUGUCCAGCAUUGUUCGGCUGAACAAUAUUGUUAACUACCAGGAACAAUAUGGGCAGCAAUAUAUUGUUC
Non-coding RNA from Paramuricea clavata, 112 nucleotides. NCBI's taxonomy places the organism in Eukaryota, Metazoa, Cnidaria, Anthozoa, Malacalcyonacea, Plexauridae. The record is from the annotation of a GenBank genome assembly.